RNAcentral lists this ribosomal RNA (448 nucleotides) under uncultured bacterium. RNAcentral's name for it is "SSU rRNA". It matches the Rfam family "Bacterial small subunit ribosomal RNA", at positions 26 to 518 of the family's 1533-position model. The record is from RNAcentral.
AGAGCGAACGCUGGCGGCAGGCCUAACACAUGCAAGUCGAACGGAUCCUUCGGGAUUAGUGGCGGACGGGUGAGUAACACGUGGGAACGUGCCUUUUGGUUCGGAACAACUCAGGGAAACUUGAGCUAAUACCGGAUGUGCCCUUCGGGGGAAAGAUUUAUCGCCAUUAGAGCGGCCCGCGUCUGAUUAGCUAGUUGGUGAGGUAAAGGCCCACCAAAGGCAACGAUCAGUAGCUGGUCUGAGAGGAUGAUCAGCCACAUUGGGACUGAGACACGGCCCAAACUCCUACGGGAGGCAGCAGUGGGGAAUCUUGCGCAAUGGGCGAAAAGCCUGACGCAGCCAUGCCGCGUGAAUGAUGAAGGUCUUAGGAUUGUAAAAUUCUUUCACCGGGGACGAUAAUGACGGUACCCGGAGAAGAAGCCCCGGCUAACUUCGUGCCAGCAGCCGC